GUACUGAACACAGAUUAAUAAGAGAAUAAUUGAAGAUUGAUAGAUAGUUGAAGAUACAUAUUUAUUUUCCAAGUUAUUGUUGAUUUUACCACAGAAAAUGCAGGGUUUUCCGUGAUAUCUUAAAACAAUCAAUGAUAUGAUCUUAAAAAAUACUAUGAUCUUAAAAAAUAACUUUAAGAUGCAGACAAACUUUAUCAUUGCAAAAAGAAUAGAAGAGAAAAAAAAAAAACGAUCAAAAUUCCACAAAACAUUGCUUAGAAACUAAGAUUCUAAAAACCCAAACCGCAACAAAAACUUUGGUACUACAGGAGAACAAAUAUGAUCUUUUCCACAAGUAACACCCGUCCGUAAAAACCCGUAGGAAUAUAUGUCGCAUUCGAUGAUAUUAUUAUGGAAGUAAAAACUUUGACUCAUUAACCUGUUAUCAAAACC
RNAcentral lists this long non-coding RNA (432 nucleotides) under Mytilus galloprovincialis (Mediterranean mussel). Lineage: Eukaryota; Metazoa; Mollusca; Bivalvia; Mytilida; Mytilidae. The record is from RNAcentral.